RNAcentral lists this ribosomal RNA (252 nucleotides) under uncultured bacterium. RNAcentral's name for it is "partial 16S ribosomal RNA". It matches the Rfam family "Bacterial small subunit ribosomal RNA", at positions 525 to 776 of the family's 1533-position model. The record is from RNAcentral.
ACGGAGGGUGCAAACGUUGCUCGGAAUCAUUGGGCGUAAAGCGCGCGUAGGCGGCUUGAUAAGUCGGAUGUGAAAGCCCUCGGCUUAACCGGGGAAGUGCAUUCGAAACUGUCAGGCUUGAGUAUGGGAGAGGAUUGUGGAAUUCCCGGUGUAGAGGUGAAAUUCGUAGAUAUCGGGAGGAACACCAGAGGCGAAGGCGACAAUCUGGACCAAUACUGACGCUGAGGUGCGAAAGCGUGGGGAGCAAACAGG